RNAcentral lists this non-coding RNA (31 nucleotides) under Rattus norvegicus (Norway rat). The record is from RNAcentral. Lineage: Eukaryota; Metazoa; Chordata; Mammalia; Rodentia; Muridae.
UAGGGCCCUGUAACAAUCUAUUUCUGAUCUC